UAUGUGAUCGUCUCUCGCAUAUCAAUAAGCGGAGGAAAAGAAACUAACAAGGAUUCCCCUAGUAACGGCGAGUGAAGCGGGAAGAGCUCAAAUUUGAAAUCUUAAAGGGUCUCCCUUUACGAAUUGUAGUUUAAAGAAGUGUUUUCUGUUGAGGUUUUGGUAAAAGUUCUUUGGAAUAGGACAUCAUAGAGGGUGAGAAUCCCGUAUUUGACCUUUACUUUCAACUUUGUGAUACACUUUCAAAGAGUCGGAUUGUUUGGGAAUGCAGUCCAAAAUGGGUGGUAAAUUUCAUCUAAAGCUAAAUAUUGGCGAGAGACCGAUAGCGAACAAGUACCGUGAGGGAAAGAUGAAAAGAACUUUGAGAAGAGAGUUAAACAGUACGUGAAAUUGUCAAAAGGGAAGCGUUUGACACCAGUGUUGUUUUUCUGAAAAUCAAUUAAAGAACUGUUUAUGCUAAGCUGUUUAGACUUUAUCAGCUAUCUGUUUAGUUUUGAGCUUUUCUUUAAUGCACUUUUCAGUUAACAAGUCAACAUCAAUUUCUUUUGCUGUAAAAAAGCUUGAGGAAGGUGGCUUGAGAUUCGUCUUAAGUGUUUAUAGCCUCUUGCCUAUGCAGUCGGAGAGAUUGAGGUCUGCAGCGUAGAUCCUUCGGGGCUAAAUGCAUUUGUGCUAAGUUAUAGCAUUUUAUAGACAGCUUGUUGACUAUGAUUUGUCUUGUAGCUUACUCGCUUAUGUUAUUUUACCUACGCUUAGGAUGUUGAGCGCAUGUCUCUCUCU
Molecule: ribosomal RNA, 774 nt
Filed under: uncultured Neocallimastigales
Lineage: Eukaryota; Fungi; Neocallimastigomycota; Neocallimastigomycetes; Neocallimastigales
Description: partial large subunit ribosomal RNA
Rfam family: Eukaryotic large subunit ribosomal RNA
Source: RNAcentral